RNAcentral lists this transfer RNA (76 nucleotides) under Planctomycetota bacterium. RNAcentral describes it as "Planctomycetes bacterium tRNA-Phe". It matches the Rfam family "tRNA". From Rfam's summary of the family: Transfer RNA (tRNA) molecules are approximately 80 nucleotides in length. Their secondary structure includes four short double-helical elements and three loops (D, anti-codon, and T loops). Further hydrogen bonds mediate the characteristic L-shaped molecular structure. tRNAs have two regions of fundamental functional importance: the anti-codon, which is responsible for specific mRNA codon recognition, and the 3' end, to which the tRNAs corresponding amino acid is attached (by aminoacyl-tRNA synthetases). tRNAs cope with the degeneracy of the genetic code in two manners: having more than one tRNA (with a specific anti-codon) for a particular amino acid; and 'wobble' base-pairing, i.e. permitting non-standard base-pairing at the 3rd anti-codon position. Lineage: Bacteria; Pseudomonadati; Planctomycetota. The record is from RNAcentral.
GGGCGGAUAGCUCAGUUGGUAGAGCAACGGAUUGAAAAUCCGUGUGUCGGCGGUUCGACUCCGCCUCUGCCCACCA